UUAAAAACGACUAUUAUUAUAAAAAGAUUUCUAUUAAAAAAGACUUUCUAUUUAAUGCGACAAUUAAUUAGGACAAUUAAUUGUGUAGGAAGAGAACACACGCGCGAGAAAAGACACGCGACCGGCGAAAUACAUUAAAGACGCCUAGACAUCAUUUUCACGGCUGGCACGUUAGCUAUAGCUAAUAGAUCGUGAGAGAAAGAAAGCAGCGUCGUCUGUACUCUUCCAUCGCUCGAUCUUAGCCGAAGCGCCGAGUGCUAUAAUUCGUGACGGGCAGGCGCACGUACACGGUAGUUUGCUUGUGCGCGCGCCGCUGGACACACUGUAGCUGUGCUGUUUGGGUCCUGAAACUGGCAUCAUUGCUGAUUAAAGCCUUAGAUCCUAGAUUAUCAAACAAGCACAACCGUUAUCCCCUCCAUAGUUCCCGUCCGACAUAAAUACUGAGUUCACAAUUAUCAAAGCAAUCUGAAAGAUAUGGCAUACAAUAUCAGCAGAAAAAACAUUGUUAUUAGCAAUAUGGAUGAUGGCAACUUCUAAUUCGUACAGAUGUGUUGCUGAUCGUUUCGAUGUUGGCUUGGAGAUAUGUUCAAAAGGUUAUCAACACUAUAUUUGGACCUUGACACAUUUAUUACAUGACCAGAUAGGGAAAGAGCAAAGGAAAUAUGGACAUAUGUUAAAAACAAAUAUUCGUUUCCUAAAGUUAUAGGAGCAAUAGAUGGUACUCACAUAAAAAUUGCAAAACCAAAAAUAGAUUCGGAUGCUUAUAUAAAUAGAAAAGGAUAUCAGUCCAUACAGUUACAGAUAAUAUGUGAUCAUGAAUUACAAUUCACCCACGUUUAUGCAGGACAGGUAGGAUCGGUCCAUGAUAUGAAAAUUUUUCGAUUAUCAGGUGUUGAAAACUGGUGUACAACGCAAAACUUCCCUGAAAAUAGUCAUUUGUUGGGUGACGCUGCAUAUAGCAUACAAAAAUAUGUAAUGACCCCAUUUAAAGACAAUUGAUAUUUAAGUGAUGCACAAACCACAUAUAAUGUCCGAUUGUCUCAAGCCAGAAUGAUGAUCGAAAGAGCAAUAGGCUUAUUGAAGGGAAGAUUCAGAAACAUUUUGGAUAUAUUGCCUAUGAAACGAACUGCUUUAAUUCCGAAAUAUAUCGUUGCAUGCUGCAUUCUGCACAAUAUAUGUUUAAUAAAAAAUGAUCACAUAGAUAUACCUAUAAUUGUAGAAGAUGAAUUUGUACAAAGUGCAGCUCAAAAUAGAACAAUGUUCGAAGGUUUACGACAAGAAGGGAUUGACAAACGCAACGCAAUUAUGUAUUCUUUACAAAAUGAACAUUAUUAAUAUUUUGUGUAAUAAAA
Molecule: long non-coding RNA, 1352 nt
Organism: Harpegnathos saltator (Jerdon's jumping ant)
Lineage: Eukaryota; Metazoa; Arthropoda; Insecta; Hymenoptera; Formicidae
Exons: 4
Source: RefSeq, a predicted model, not a curated record